Anopheles aquasalis is the source of this 2635-nucleotide RNA transcript. It is a transcript of the gene named nose resistant to fluoxetine protein 6-like, with no coding region annotated. NCBI's taxonomy places the organism in Eukaryota, Metazoa, Arthropoda, Insecta, Diptera, Culicidae. The record is from RefSeq and is a predicted model, not a curated record.
UCCGCGCUGGCAGCAUCUCCUUCUCUCGCUGAGGCUAAUGACACUAGUUAGACAGUUCGGCGGGUUCCUGUUUCGUUCGAAAGUGUCUAAAGUGAAGUGGCCAACCAAAAAGAACAAACGGAAUUAAAAUUAGCAUGAAAACUCGAUCAAUCAUGUGGCGACGACGGACGACUACUAUGAUCCCACCGAGUGUACCUUCCAUCAUCAUCAUAGUCACCAUCGGUGUACUGUGUACCGGCGUGAGAGCGUUUGAUGUGCUUUUCGGUUACAACCAAAGUGAAUACUGGCAGAUGCCUCAGCUGCAGGUAUACGACAGUAUGGAGAACUGUCUCCACAAUCAGCCAACGGGUGUGUUUUGCGUGACGAAAGUGGCCAUCAAACCGGACAGCCGGUCGACAGUUUGGAGACUCAUCAAGAAAUACUCCAAAUAUACCUUCCAGUAUAAUCACGAUGUGCUGACACGUGGUGUGUGCGUCGACAAGUGUGCUCGCGAGAUGGAACAACUCACUGUGUCCGGUGUACCGGUGGAUCGGUUUUAUGAGCCAAAGUUUAAUAUCACCAAAAGGUUCAUUAUGCCCGAUUGGUUGCUUCCGAAUGUGACGCAUUACCGGAAAUCGUUCGGUCGCCUGGUGAACGUUUGCCAAAAUUAUGCCCUUCGAACCCAGUACAACCUGAGCGGUUACAUCGAGAUUGAAGAGUGUACCACGAAUGAUACGCUUGUGAGACCUAUGGAUGCAUACGAUAUCGCAUACAUAACACUGCUUGUGGUGCUGGUUCUAGUGACGAUAGGAUCUCAAUGCUACGAUUGCCGCUUAGCUCGAGCGUCCUCAGAUGAAGACCAUUACAGGCGUCCCCUUAAAAGGCGUGUCGAUACAGUGUUGACGGCAUUCUCGCUGCGCCGGAAUUGGGCCGCGUUGACGCGCAAAUCGUGUAGGGCACAGUACCAGCAGGAUCUGUACUUUAUCGACCAGCUACGCGUGUUGACGAUGAGCGUCAUACUGCUGCUGCACGUGUUCAUCGGCAUGUGCAUGUUUACCGCUCAGAAUCCACUGGCAAUGGAGCAGUUCUCAGCACAUCCGGUUUCGCAGAUGCUUUUCUCGCUUGUCCCCGCACAGGUCGAUAUGUUUUUCAGCAUCAGCGGGUUACUGAUGGCGGUACAGUUCUUGCAGCACACCGAGAACAAGCGCUUUCAGUUCAGUAUCCUCUGGCAGGGACUCGUAAAUCGCUACCUUAGAUCUUUGCCCGUGUACGCGGUGCUUAUGCUGUUCACCGUGUCCCGCUAUGACACCUACCUGACGACCCCUUCCGGCUACAAGAUCCUUCCGAAAAUGCGCCUCAUCUGUCGACAGAAGUGGUGGAUCAACUUUCUAUACAUCAACAAUUACUAUCAACCGGAGGAACAGUGUCUGAUCCACACCUGGUACCUGGCGGCCGAUUUCCAGCUCUUCGUCGUGGGUCUCUGCGUCAUGACGGCCCUGUGGCGGUUCCCUAAGGCCACAUUCUGGGCGGCGACGGGCCUGGGGAUGGCUGGAUUUGUGCUACCGAUGCUCAAUACCUACCUGCAUGCCCUCGAUGCCAUGAUGCCGCUUACUAUGAAAGGCAGCGAAUACCAGCUUUGGUAUGAUGAAUACUUUGUCAAGUCUUACCAGGCGACGGAGAUGCACUGCGCCAGUUACUUUGCCGGUAUGAUCGCUGGCCUGCUGUACCAUCGAAUCGCACGCAAAGAGUUAACGCUACCGCUCAGCACGCUACGCAUCGUGUUCAGCCUGGGUUCGAUCGUAAUCGCUGGUUUUGCACUGCAGGCGCCCCUUUACAAUAUGAUCAACUUCACGAAACCGUCCGCCUGGAUGGCACUACUUUCCGGGGUGCACAAGGUGUCGAUCGGUGCCUUCUACUCGACGACCUUCCUGCUGCUCACCUUCCAUCACCUCAACACGCCUCUAGGGCGUUGGUUCGCGGGUAACACACUGAGCAGAGUGCUGGCACGGUUAGGAUUCGGAUUCUAUUUAAUGCAGAUGACCGUGCUGAAGAUCGUAUUCGCCAACUAUCCCGAGGAUACGCGCAUCAAUGUGCAACUGAUCAUAUCAACCUACUGCUCAACGUUCGUGCUGUCGUACGCCAUCGCGCUCGUAGCGUUUCUGCUGGUGGAAAAACCGUUCGAUGUUUUGCUCAAACUGCUGCUCGGUAAUGGUGGAACAAAACGGAAACCACCGGCGGUAGUGUCCACAUCGGGUAAAGCUGCGAAUAGAGAAGUCGCGAUACCAACGAUCAUGAAUGCCGCGAACGUGAAGCCAGCUGGAUUGGAGGAACGUUGUUAAUGGCGUAGCUGAGGCGAUGAAUUCUAACUUCUAGCAUCUAGGAAUUGGAUUAAAAUAUGUUGAUUUCAUACGUUCGCGACUCGGUUUGUCACUUUUUGGGGAACCUGCGUAUCGAGAUCAAUAAAACAUAAUUAAGUCAUAGCCAGAGCAUACAUUCUCCUGCUCCCGUUCACAUCCUUACGAAGCAAUCGUUUACAGAUGGCUGCAAUCGGAAACUCAACCAGAACGGCCAACACAAACGCGGACACAUAACACCAGAUCCACCCAGAAGCAACCACCUCGACCUAGAACGAGUAACCGAGGUAUUGCAUAAUUAG